RNAcentral lists this long non-coding RNA (1345 nucleotides) under Linum usitatissimum (flax). RNAcentral's name for it is "long non-coding RNA (LUSI_LNC002925)". Lineage: Eukaryota; Viridiplantae; Streptophyta; Magnoliopsida; Malpighiales; Linaceae. The record is from RNAcentral.
UUCUUAAUGAAAGAGGAACCCAGAAUUCCCAAUUUUCAUUCUUUAUUCAAAGCUCCGACGAGCUCAACGACGACCAUGGAAGCAAUAAGUCCAGCAUGUUUCAAUUCGAUUCUUUCAUCCAAGAAGGUAAGGAAUAGCUUUCCACUACUAGAGUAACUAAUUGGCCCAACAAUCAAUCCAAAUUAACUCUUCAUUUUCUCUGAUUACAUUUUCGACAGGAGUUGCGUCGAAUUAUUUCAGACGAGCCGAUGCUUCAUAACGGAUCUCAUUAGAUUCGUGGCGAUCCGAGGAAUCUUACCGUAUCAUUUCUUUCCAUUUUCAUAUGGUUUUGUGGCUGAUCGAGGGUCGUCGGAAUAGAAGCUCGGUCGCCAGAGCUAAUCCUUGUAAAUUAGAGAAGAUGAUGGUAAACUUCCAUUUUAGUCCCCCAAGUUUUAUUUUCCAGUUUAUUCCUUAUAGUUUCAGUAAUAUCCUGCGUAACCAGUAACUUUUAAAUAUGAAAAGCCGUGGCCCAGGAACUUUCCAGGCAUUACAUUUUAGCCCGUAAAGUUAUGAAAGUGACGUAAUUGGCCCAUUCUUGGACCGUGAACCUAUAUUUUGAACCCAACUCGAUUCACCCAAGGUUGGUUGGUUUAAGGUGUCCGCUUUGAAUAAUUAAUUUAAUGAUUGGUUAUGUCAAUUAUGCUUCCUUUCGCAUGGAUAACAAGUGAAUUGAAUAUGUGCGAUGUGGCUACGUGACCAUAUCAAGUGUACAUGAUUUAUUGACCAUAUGUCCUGAUAAAUGUGGUGUGGGUAUGAUAUGUCAGAUUGGAUAUGUGAUACGAGAAGUGUUAAGCUAGUUAGAGUUAAUGUCUAUGGGAUAUUAAUGGAAAUUGUUUGAUCACCUAGAUUAGGGCCCGUAUGCUGGUGAUCUACUUUUGUGCAUAUUGCACUACUACUACGUGUAUAUGGCCCCAAAUGGGUGCGCAUAAUGGGCACUUGAUGGUGCCACCAAUGCUACAUGUAUAUGACCCCGAGUGGGUGCUGCCGUAUUAGUAAUGUGUAUAUGGACACUUAAUGGUGCCACCAAUGAUAAGUGCAAGCCCGGGAAUCGUUAACAUACGUGAGCUAGGGAUCCCAACUAAAAUAUGUAAAAAGGCUGAGUCAUAUUGGUUAUCUGUUUGAUGAUUGUGAUCUAUAUUGUGAUUAAUGAGGACUGACCCCGAGCCACCCACCAGAUGUUUACAGGUUAACAUGGACUAGCUAUGAUCGAUCGUCGGUGUUUCUGUGUCCAAGCUAAAGUUAAGAGGGUUGUGAGGUUGUGGGACUUGGAACUUGGUUCCCUCACUGGUUUGAAUAUAUAUGCGAG